AAGUCGUAACAAGGUCUCCGUUGGUGAACCAGCGGAGGGAUCAUUACAAGAAGCCGAAAGGCUACUUAAAACCAUCGCGAACUUAUCCCAGUUGCUUCGGCGGCGCGGCUCCCCUAACGGGGCGCCGCAGCCCCCGCCUCUCGGGAGGUACGGGGCGCCCGCCGGAGGUACGAAACUCUGUAUUAUAGUGGCAUCUCUGAGUAAAAAACAAAUAAGUUAAAACUUUCAACAACGGAUCUCUUGGUUCUG
RNAcentral lists this unclassified non-coding RNA (249 nucleotides) under Coniochaeta sp. Its description in RNAcentral is "partial contains small subunit ribosomal RNA, internal transcribed spacer 1, and 5.8S ribosomal RNA". The stretch from base 1 to 46 matches the Rfam family "Eukaryotic small subunit ribosomal RNA", at positions 1786 to 1831 of the family's 1831-position model. Lineage: Eukaryota; Fungi; Ascomycota; Sordariomycetes; Coniochaetales; Coniochaetaceae. The record is from RNAcentral.